RNAcentral lists this transfer RNA (72 nucleotides) under Gazella subgutturosa (goitered gazelle). Its description in RNAcentral is "tRNA-Gln". It matches the Rfam family "tRNA". Rfam says of the family: Transfer RNA (tRNA) molecules are approximately 80 nucleotides in length. Their secondary structure includes four short double-helical elements and three loops (D, anti-codon, and T loops). RNAcentral also lists the same sequence under 1 other name. The record is from RNAcentral. Lineage: Eukaryota; Metazoa; Chordata; Mammalia; Artiodactyla; Bovidae.
UAGAAUUUGGUGUAUUUGGGAGCACGAAGAGUUUUGAGUUCUUAGGAGUAGGUUCAAUUCCUAUAGUUCUAG